This is an RNA transcript of Phlebotomus papatasi, 7888 nucleotides long. It is a transcript of the gene named beta-1,3-galactosyltransferase 1-like, with no coding region annotated. The transcript has 6 exons. The record is from RefSeq and is a predicted model, not a curated record. Lineage: Eukaryota; Metazoa; Arthropoda; Insecta; Diptera; Psychodidae.
GGAGAGUGAGAUAGAGAUGGCAAAUCAGUUAAUUGUACUUGGGAAUUUAGAUGGUGAGGCAGUAUUGCUUGAAAGUGCACAGAGUUUAAAUGUGUAGUAAAUAGUAAAUAAAUUCUCAAGAGGUGUGAUUAAGAGUGCGAGAGAGUGUCUGGAAAGAUUGGACAAUUUUAGAUUAGUCAUGAAUGCAUUCAAGGAUCACGUAUAAAAACCAUUGAGAAUCGUGCCAAAAGUGUCACAACUCAUUCAAGUUUCCGCGGAGAUUCGUGUUUGAGUGGUCCCUUCAUUGCCCUUUUCUUUGGGAUACCCUGGUCAAUCGGAUUUGUUUUCUCCAGUUCCCAAGUGCUUCAUACAUUUACCCAUUGCCUGGCUUCCCUGUGAUUGCUCAAGUGGGGCCUUUUGCCAGGGAAUUCGCGAGAAAAACGCAAUUGCAAAAAAAAGGAUAAAAGCAAUUGACAGGAAGUGUCAAAAGUUGUCAGUCCAGAGAGGAGUUUGUCUCCUGGAUUUUGUGCUUGAAAAACAAGGGAAUACAGUGCUUGAAUUUUUUGUUUUUUGGUUUUCCUGGAGGGAUAAUAUUCCCAUCUUUAUUUUUGUUGUGCCAUUUGCUGUUAAAAGCUUGCUCUGAUUCUGUGCGGAAGUUAUUUCGUAAUCAACUCCCGAGAUAAAUCAGUACCAAGAGCGAGAAAGACCAGAAAUUCCAUCGACUCUGAGAGUGUGUCACUUUUUGAGGUAGAAUUCUCGCAUAAGAAGUUUUUCGCAGUAUUUUUCUGGUCAGUGCCUCCCGCCGAGAGAAGCCACAGCUGCAGGAACAUCAACACGGAUUGGUACUCUCUCAGUGGAAUUGUGAAGAAGUAGACACACAAAUCACUGAGAAAGGCAUCCGGAAGAUAGGGCAAAUGGCUGUAUGAGCAGCAAGGCCAGAAAAACCAGAGGAAGUCACAAGGAAUUGACGGUCAAUUGUCUGUCGCACCCGGAAAGGAACCCCCAAAAACAUUUGGAGUCACGCAGCCAAAAAAAAAUUAGAAUUUCCCAAUAUGACUCUGAAGAAUUAAAUCGUUGAACUCUCUUGACUUCGAUGGAGAAACAAUGCAUCAGACGAUUGAUGGACAAUGAUAAGUGAGAAUAUCAAAAAAUGGUUGUCUAUCAGCAGUACCGGACAGUGAGGUUUGGUCUGGUGUUGGGAAUUGUGGUACUCACUGUCUUUCUCUACAUUUCCUACUACACAAAUCCCAUUGAGCCUCUGUAUACCAAGCAACAGCACCAUUUGGCCCCAUCGGCCGUUGAGUCGCUGCCCCUAAAUGCUGCAGCCCUUGUAAGCGGCGGUGCCUAUGACAAUUUCACCAGUAAUGCUGGAAAUCGGAGUGCUGAAAAAUUUUCUGUGAUUUCCACACGGAAUGAGAGUAAAGUGGACGAAAGACCUCCUCCUUCGGGUGAUGAUGCAAUUGAAAACUCGGCGGGGAGACAAUCCGGGGUGGAUCAGGUGAUUCCUGUAGUGGUGCAUCAGCCAUCAUCAUCAUCAUCGUACUAUGCACCACUGGUAGCGACUGGUAGCCAAAAUAGUUUUAAGGAGAGUGAGAAUGAAGUACGAAUACCGUCAGCAGGGUCACUGCAAGGGUCAGUGGUAAGGUUGACGGCUCAGGGAGCAUCAGCUGUAGAAAAUACACCGCCAAAGACUUCCGCCUCCAGUGCUAAUGAAGUAAAAUUAAAUGCAACAACAGUCCGAGGUCACCUGGAUCCGGCUCAAGGUAUCCGAACGAGUGAACUCUAUGAGAGUGGUCAUUCGGAACCAAAUGCAGAAUUGUGUCCGGCCAUGGGUGAAAAUGUGCGUCUGUUGGUUCUUGUGACAUCAGCGCCCACGCACUAUGACGCUCGCAUGGCCAUUAGGCAUACAUGGGGUCACUAUGGGAUGAGGAGGGAUACUGUUGUGGCAUUUUUCCUUGGUGCCACGGGUGAUCAGGGCACGGAGGAACAAAUGUUGGGUGAAAAUACUCUGUUUGGUGACUUGAUACAGGGUCGCUUUGUGGACAGCUACAAUAAUCUAACACUGAAGACAAUUUCAAUUUUGGAAUGGGUUGAUACGUACUGCCCACAGGCGUCCUUUGUCCUCAAGACUGACGAUGAUAUGUUCAUCAAUGUGCCGAAAUUGAUGCAAUUUAUGGAUAAGCAUAGUCACGACAAAAGACAUAUCUAUGGGCGAUUGGCAAAGAAAUGGAAGCCAAUUAGGAAUAAAAAGAGCAAAUACUACGUUUCACCCAAUCAAUAUUUGCCAAAGUAUUUCCCGGAUUUCACCACGGGACCUGCCUAUCUCAUGACAUCUGAUGUCAUUCAUGAUUUAUAUGAAAAAUCCCUGGAACAGACGUAUCUCAAGUUGGAGGAUGUCUAUACGACGGGAAUUGUGGCGCAAUUGGUGAAGGUGAAACGGAUCCAUGUGACAGAAUUUCUCAAUCGACGGAUUGCCUUCAAUGCGUGCAACAUCAAGAAGGCCAUCAGUGUGCACAUGGUAAAGGGGCAGGAGCAGUAUGAUUUGUGGAAGAAAUUGAUGGAUACCAAUCUAAAAUGCAAAUAGCAUCAGGAUCAGCAGCAGGUGCAUCUGAGGCUGGAGAUCCACAAGACAACGUCCAAGAUUAUUUAAAAAAAUAAAUAAAUAAUAAUAAUUUUCAAGACAAUGUUAUGGUAGGAUUGUAUGAGUAAGAAAUGAAAUUGAAGUGAAAUAUAAUUGAUAGAGAAUUAUUGUAUAAUAGUUCUUAAGUAGCAGCUUGAAAAUCUACAUACCCUGUUCUUAAAGUACUAUAAAUAGCAAUUUUCCCUGUAGAAAAAAAAGAAGAAAUUGUGUUGCUUCGAAUUUUUAAAAAAGAAAUCUCAAGAGGAAAAUGCUGAAUUUUAGCAGAAAUUGAAUUUUGUAAAGUUGAACUUUUGGUUAAAUUUAAUCAAAAGUGUGAAAAAAUAUUAAGGAAAACAGUAUUUCAAUUUAAGAAUAUUUUUUACAGUUCCAUGCAUGAGACAUUUUAGCAAUUAUCUUGAUUUAUUUUAUUGAAAAAAAAAACUUUAAAAAAUUAAUUGAGAGAAAUUUCGAGAAAAUAUAAGACUAAAAUCACAGUGAACCUUUCGAAGUUAAGAAGAAAUAUAUAGAGAAUUUUUCGAACUCAGAAACAUAAAUUCCCGUAUCAGCCGCUUGAGCGCUGCUAUCACUUCCCUUUUCGAAAAUUAAGCAUUCUAGGACAAACCUGCAACUUCCUUUAUAAACGCUACAUAUUGGGAGAUAUUUUUGUCAAAUUGGGGCGUUUUGAAGUCAAUUAUUUGCUUGUGAAUCGGAAUUGGAUUCUCCAAAAGUGUGUAGGCUAAAAGGUAAAUGGCACUUGCACUCGAUUAAAUUUUAAAUUUUCAAAUUAAAUUUUCGCGUAAGAUUGUAGAAAUGUGUAGAGUCACACUGGAUGCCAGUGUGGGGAAUUCGAGAGGGACAGAAAUCAUUCGAAAUCGAGCCAAUUCGAAAUUCAAACAGAAAAUGUCAUGAUCCAAUGAGCACAGUUAGCUAAAAAGGCAGCGUUUUCAGUAUAUUCUUGCUGAAAAUGCUGCUUUUUUGGAUAACUGCGGUCGCUAGGAUGGGACAGAAAUCAUUCGGAAUCGAGCCAAUUCGAAAUUCGAACAGAAAAUGUCAUUAUCCAACGAGCACAGUUAGCUAAAAAGACAGCGUUUUCAGCAUAGUUUUGCUGAAUCGAUCAGUAAAAAUGUGCCGACCGGUCAGCAGUUCUCGAACAAAAGGUACUAACUAAGUAAUAUGGAAAUGACACUGGCUCGGGAGUGUUGUUUUAAGGUUAGCAGAAUUUAGCUGAAAAUAUAUAUGUUUUUUUCAAUAUUAAUAAUAAAAUAAUAAAAAUGGCGCAAGGUUCCACAGAGGAACCUAGGUCUUCCCGCAAGGGGAGUUCGGAAAAUCCAUUAUUAUUUUUUCUUGUACGGGAUGAGAUUGUCAGUCCCAUGUCCCAUGGAAUCAAGUACAGUGAAGCUCUGGAUGCAAUCCGAACACCUUGAACGCCAGAAAAAUUCCUGGUGACCUAAAGGGGAUUCGAACCCGAGACACUUGCAUCACAGAGCGAGUGUUCUACCGGUUCUACCACUUGACCUACUGAGUUCCAACACUGAGAAUGCGAUAUGACAAAUUUCGUUCGAAUCUCAAGAGAGCUUUUUCGAAUAUGUGAUUCGGUAGCCAUGACAUUGUCACUUGAGCUCACGUGGCAUUGACAGCUGAUUUGAAAUCGGUUAGCAUUUGGUGUCUUAAAUGUCUUAUAUUGAUUUUCGUAACCGAUUUACGAAUAUUUGAAUUCGUUUUUUGUUUUUCCGCCCCCAAGGAUUUUUUGAAAAAAAUAUCAUCUCAUUUUCAAGUUAAAGCACAACUACUUACCUUUCUAACGGAUGCCCAUUUAUUAUGUUCUGUACACUAGAACCGGAGGAAUAAUUGAUAAUAUGUGACAAAACAGCAAAAACAAAUAAAAAUUAAUUAAAGAAAAUUGUGACGUAUAGGAGAAAAACCAAGAGCAGAUUCUUGGUCAGGGGACUCGACUAAAAAAAAUCGUGUUGCAUAGUGUUAUCCUAAUCUUUGUUUGGUUUAAUGGAAAACCAUAAAAAUUCGAUUGACAUUCAACUGAAAAACCUCUCCGUAUAGCCAACGGCCGCGGCGAUUCCAUUAGAUUUCCAGCAGCCUUUUCUGCCAUGUCCGUGAAUUUUAUCGCUAAAAAUCCGCGUGAUAUUCCCUGGAUUUUACAGCUCAAAAUCCGCGUAAGUUUCCGAGAUGGAAUUUGGCGCUAAAUUUCUUCCUAGCGUUCCAUGGACGUUUGCGAAACUCUGUAUAGGACCGUCUAAUAAGAAAUGUCCGUGAGUAUCCAUGGACUUUUCUCUGACGAAUAUUUCCACGGCUUUUCCUAUGGAUUAGUAGCGGUAUAAUCGGCAGUCAGCCCUUUAAAAAUUUGGAAAAAUCCUCUUUUUUUCCACGAAAUUCUCCGUGGAAAUUUUCAUACAACGGCCUUAGAGGCUUCCGUGGUUUAAUAUUACGGAAUUCCACGAUUUUUCCAGUGGAUUUUUUAGAUAUAUUUUUCUUCAAAAUAAUUCCAAAAAUUGAUUAAAAUUUCGUGGAACUUUUCAUAGAGAAUUUCCAGAAAAAAAAACAUCUACAAAUAUGGAGGAUCAGUGCCAAUUGGCAGCUUAGAACUUGGAGAGUGUUCAUCUAUCAGACGAACACUCAAUUGUUCUACUUUUGAAUUGAAUAUAUUGCUAUCAUAUCGUUCAUUUGAGUAUGUCUAGCUCGCAAGAAUUACAGUGUUAAGGCGAAAAAUAAUUGCAGAAUUUUUGCGCUUACUUCCAUGGAGUCUUGGUCGGAAAGAUAUCAGAAAAUUACUCGGAAUAUUCAAAGGAAAUUUUGAAUCAAUUUCCAGGGAAUGCUCUCAGAUAUGUUGCAAGAAAAUUCCUCGGACUUUUUUUCUAGGAAAUCCACGCGAAAAAUAGCUGAUAACUCCGCAGAAUUCCAAGCGGAAUAUUAGCGUAUAUUUCCACGGAAACUCUCGCGGAAAAAUAGAAGAUAAAUUCUAGGGAAUUUUCUGUUACUGUGAAACUUUGCGGGCGAUCGGCUACAGGGACAGGAAGGAAUAAUAGCUAACCCAGUGAUUCAAAUUCUGAAUUUACCAGUAUCAACUAAAACACCAAAGAGGAAUUUCUAAUUUAUUGUUUCCUACCUAAUUGACUGUAAAUAAACAUAAACGCAAAAUAGGCAAUAAGGGAAGUGCUUAAGUACCAGUGUCUGAAGUUUAAGUUUUAAAAUGAAUUAAAACAUGAAUUUUAGUGUAAUUUUGGACACUUUGCUUGUAAUUUUGGACACCUAAUACACUUCACAAGAAUGCCCACUGUCAUUCAUUUCAAGAACCUAACUUACAAAAAUCAUCUUUUUAUGAGAAGGAACUGUAGGAUAUCUCAAAGAGCCCGCAAACUUUAAUUUAGAUUUUAAUCAAUUUACAGUACACUCUCGCUCAAUCGGCUCUUUUUCAAUCGGGCGCAAAAUUUUGUUGACAAUUUUCACAUUUGAUUUUAAAGCAAACUUGUUCAAAUUCGCUGUAGUUCCUCAUGUUUUGUCAUGAUUCUCUAUAUUUGAGCGCUUUUUGUGGAAUUUUCAAUGAUUUUGAUGCUCAAAUCUCGAUAAUUUGGAUGACAUUUUACCCCAAAUGCCCAAUUGAGAGAGAGUCUACUGUAUUUGUAAUGUCCAAAAUUACAAGCAAUGCCGCUAACCUUUUCAAAGUAUAGAAAAUUCGAAGAAUUAGCAGUAAUAGUGCUUUAGCGCUCAAGCGGAGAAUACGUAAACUUGUACGUUGAUCUUUCGGGAGCUUUUCGAAUUUUGAAUUGUUUUGUAUUUUCGAACUUUAAGCUUACAACACAGUAAAAAAAAUUUACAAGAAUAAUCGUUGAUUUGCUUUUUUACCACGAUUAUUCUUGGAAAGUUACACAAAUUAUAUAUUUCAACAAAACGUGUAAUCUGAAAAUGUGUAAUUUAAAUUUUAUGUAAUUGUAAACCGCGUAAUCAACUGUGAAUGAUUACACAAUUUUUUAUAUUUUCUUACAUAUUUCGUGUAAAAUUACACAGUUUUCAAAUAAAUGGUGUACAAAUUACACAGUUUUCAGACAAAAUGUGUACAAAUUACACAAAUGUGUUUUAGUACACACGAUUACAUGUUUAAUGUAAAAUUUACAAUGAAAAUCAUGGUAAAGCAGUCAAAAUUUUUUUACUGUGUAUUUUUAAAUAAUAUUUUUGAAUUAUCAAAAUAGAAAACAAAUUCUUUAGAACGACCAUUGCGAUCCAAUUUGUAUGUUAUUUAUGCACAAUUCAACGAUAACAAAAAUUUAUUCUAAAAAAAAAGUAAACCACUUAAGUUUGCUCUAUUUGAAAAGAAAAAUAGGGCUUACAGAUAAAAUUAUAAUAAUGCGAUAAUGAAUAUUGCAUGGAACUGCAUUCAGUGCGCUUUUCCAGUGUGUCUUUGACAGAAAAUUUUGAAGAGAAAAAAAAUGCAAUAAAAUAAAAUUCAGCACUUUCUUUGUCAAAAUACAGACACUGUCUCUCAAUUUUUCUUCAACUUUUGCUUCAAUCUGUUGAAUUAAUUUUUUAUUUGGAAAAUCUUGUGUAUUUAUGUUAAUCUCUGUAGCGGGUACUAUCAAUACACAAAUAUACACACAGACAGAAAAAAAAACAUUAGGAUUUUUCUUCAAUUAGGCUGUGAUCAUAUUCGAAGAGAAUUUUGUUCAUUGAAAAAAAAAAGUUUAAGAGAAAAACAAAAAGAGGAGAGGAAGCUUGUCUCUCACAGAGAUCUUGUGAGAGAAAAAGAAGAAAAAGCUUACCAAAAAAAAUAUUUGGAAGUUAUUUUUCUUUUAAGGUGUCUACACAUUGAGAACAAUUUUCGUCAAAAAGUGCUUUUUUGAAGGAAAUUGGCUGCAGUGCUGUAGGCAGAAACGUCAAAAUUCUGUCAAAAAUGCAAUUUUUGACAAAAAUUGCUUUUUUGAAGGAAAUUCCCUGCAGCGUUGUAGGGCGAAACGUCAAAUUUCUGUCAAAAACGCAAUUUUUGACGAAAAUUGCUCUCAAUGUGUAGAGGCCUUUAGAGAAAAUUUUGUUUGUUCAAAUGCGAGUGUCUCUGGUUGAGAGAGGCAUUGAAACUAUAAAAAACAAUAAAUAAAAGAUGAAUUAAAGAAGAUUAGGAAAUGAAUGACGAAAGUGUGAAAAUGAUUCUCUUUUGACGACGACGGCUAUACUCUCCCAAAAAAAGGUAUCCUCAAUUUGUAAAAUUGUAACGUUGUAAAUAGGCAUGUAAGUUGACACGCGAUGCUGUGUAAAAGGAAAUAAAAGAAAAAAACAGAUUCCCUACAA